UCAAAUCGUGCCGAGCCCACAUAAACAGAAUCUCAGCCUGUCUGUUCUCUGUUUGGACUACUCCCCACCGGCCAGUGGCCGCCGCGCCGUCGUCCGCCGCACCACUCCAUCUCCGAUCUCCCUGAGUCGCUGGGAGGGCUCCAGCAUGGUCCGGCGAGGAGCCACGACCCGCGGCACAUCGACAUAUCGGCGGCGGGAAUGGUGUGCUUUGUCGCCGUCGUGGGGGGGCACGGCCUGGAAGCGGAUCUCCAUUGCCGCAGUCGUCUCCAAGGUCUCGGGCGACAAGCGCUUCGAUCUAUUUGUGACCGAGAAAUUGGAGCUCGAACAGCCAUGGCGGAACCCGUGGGCGAACGAGCAAUGCCCCCCAACCCCGGCGUCACAGCAAGGUCCUGACGAUGUUGGAAAACCAUAAAUGUAGUGCCUCAGUUUUAUCAUUGAAUUGGACUAAUCACUAAUGGGAUUUCUAGGUAGUACUUCAUUUUGCAAAAGAUGAAAAGAUUAAACUUGGUCGAAGUCACUUGGCACAAAUGAUGCUAACAAGGGGCGCGAGGUACAUUGGAGGGAGCCAGCACUGACUGGAAGCAGGUCUCCAGUGGCACAGGCCUCUACAAGGUCUCCGAUGGCUUGUUGAGCAAUCCGACCCCAAUAUCCUGGAGCUUUCUGGCUGUUAGCUUCCCUUCCAUCUCAGUUUACCAUGGGAAGACCUUACCUUCCUAGAUUGUGCACUACUCAUGUUGACUUCAGUAUUAUCUCAUACAUGAUCCUCUUCUCUCUGUUGAAUACUUGAAUUUGGUGAUGUUCAAAUUACUUCAAUAUUAAUUAACUCUGCUGAUGCCUGUUAGUACUGAACAACUUAUCAUUUUGGAAACCAUGGCUGUAAUCUUCUCCAAAGAUAAAAUUUACAGUCAAGAAUUUCUGCUUAUUCAAUUAAGAAGAAUAGAAAGAAGCACUCAUAGAGGUUCUCAGUUACAAUUUGGAUGAAAUGGAUGCCACAACUAACAGUAAUAAAAUUGCUAGAACUAGUUAUGAUUCAUUUUCUUAGAUACAUUUUAUCAGGACAUAAUUAUAGGUAUCCAUGGAUUAGUCUUCUAUCUCCUUGGAUUGCCCCCCUCCCAGUGUAUAAUGCCAUUUCUUUUUUGGACAGAUUGUGCCAGUUGAAUCUAUCCAUCAAGGCCAAAUCAUGAGCAACCAAUUUUCCAUGUAUGAAUGAAGAAUUUACACUUUUUGGCUAAAUGGAUUGUAGUCUCAUCCUCCAUGAUCCACAAGUGAGCAAGAUGAAUUACAUGGCCAUCCCAUGAAGGUUAACCUCAUUUUUAUCAGUGAAUUGAAUUUUGAGGAUAGUACUUCAGUUUGCAGAAGAUGUUCAUAUCAAACUUGGUGUAAGUCACUCGGCACAAGUGCUGCUGGCAAGAUAGUAGAGAGUAGAGAAACAAGGCUGGACUGGAGAGUACCCCAGUACAAUGUAAAACAACUGCUGGCUAGGCUCGUCGAAACUCUAGGACAUAUAUGACCCGUUUGCGUAAGUGGAGGUGACACAUCUUGCUGGAGUUGGCUUGUAGACAAUAACCCAACUGAGUUUUUAGAAAAUUGUGGCAGUGUAGUAUUUUGCUGCUCGCUUUAGAUUGCAGUUAAUCAGUUUCAAAGGAAUCAUACUGUUAAUCGGUUGAGCACAGAAGGAGAGGCCCUGGACCAUGGUGGCAUAUCGGAUGGGAGAUGAUGUAGAUGGCAUUUUCAGAUCAGUGGCUGAAUAUAUCAUCGGUGAUGGAGCUGAUAACAGAUACUGGACGACAAAUUGGACGGGAAAUGGUUGCUUCGCCUGGAGGUGGCCUAUCCUGUACUCCUAUGUAGGACACUCCAGGUUGUCGGUCGCCCAGGCCAUGGUUAAUCAUAGAUGGGUGCGAGAUUUGCAGGGUUCCUUGUUCAAUGAAGCCUUGGGUGACUUCUUUCAGCUUUGGGACGAGGUUCAUGAUGUGGCUCUACAGCCUAAUGCAGAUGCAAUCAGAUUGAAACUGACUGGAGAUAGGGCAAUUCUCGGCUGCCUCGGCAUAUGAUC
Molecule: non-coding RNA, 2053 nt
Organism: Oryza sativa Japonica Group (Japanese rice)
Lineage: Eukaryota; Viridiplantae; Streptophyta; Magnoliopsida; Poales; Poaceae
Source: RefSeq, a predicted model, not a curated record